GACUUUUUUCUAUUAGUAUACCAAUAUACACCAAAUACAUAUUUCGUUCAUCCAUUUAUACCGUGUGUACAGAUAUAUUCAUAUAUUACAAUUAACUGUUAAGCGUUGCAGUACAUAGCGCAAGCUUGCCAACACAAACACAUACAAAGAUGCGUGCCGCCCUAAAAAGAGCACAUGCUUAGAUGCACAACUAGAUAGAAAGAUAUUAGCUAGCGUGCAUGCAUGCAAAAAUAUGGCCGUCAUGCAUAUAUAACUUGCACAUCCAUAUAUCAUGCCAUCAUAUAUUUCGUAUAGUAUAUGGGUAUACACGCCCAAAGGAUUUUAGUUCAAUCUAUCUAUGGAGUACGUAUAUUAUUUGAGUUACAUAAGAUAGACAAGUUGCUUCA
This 386-nucleotide long non-coding RNA is filed under the name Sorghum bicolor (sorghum). RNAcentral describes it as "long non-coding RNA (SBIC_LNC000360)". The record is from RNAcentral. Lineage: Eukaryota; Viridiplantae; Streptophyta; Magnoliopsida; Poales; Poaceae.